UCCCUGGUGGUCCAGUGGCCAAGACUCUGCUCUCCCAAUGCAGGGGACAUGGGUUCAAUCCCUAGUCAGGGAA
Non-coding RNA from Bos taurus (domestic cattle), 73 nucleotides. NCBI's taxonomy places the organism in Eukaryota, Metazoa, Chordata, Mammalia, Artiodactyla, Bovidae. The record is from Rfam.